RNAcentral lists this ribosomal RNA (252 nucleotides) under Triticum aestivum (bread wheat). Its description in RNAcentral is "partial small subunit ribosomal RNA". The record is from RNAcentral. Lineage: Eukaryota; Viridiplantae; Streptophyta; Magnoliopsida; Poales; Poaceae.
UUGUUUCUCCACUGCCGUUUUACACAACAAGUUUGGGCACGCUUCAGAUCUUGGACCGGCGCCGAUUUCCUUAUCCCCGAUAACACCUUUGCCUCCACUCGGGAGUGGUGGUUGCAGACUAGGGCUCUCAUUCCCAAGCACAUCCGAAGGAAUUUUGACAUGGUGGUGCUCUUGAUGCAUUGGAGGAUAUGGAAAGAGAGGAACUCCAGGACCAGGUGGCAGCUUCGCCGUCCGGCGUUCUGGAGCGGAUAG